UGAUUGGAUUCGGCAAAUAAAGUAGAGGGCCCGCCCGUGUCACCACCAGUCCACCGAACCAGCUGUAGAUCGCUAACUCUCUUGUCGACGCCCGGAACUUAUGUACGAGUUAAGAAUGAAUUGUUCCCGAGUAGAGAGGGCAGGAUAAGGAUUCAGUAAGAAGGAGAGUCUACUUAUGGAAAUGCCAUCCUCUCUUUCCUCAGUAACGGAGUGACUAGCUACCCCA
Molecule: long non-coding RNA, 226 nt
Filed under: Hordeum vulgare
Lineage: Eukaryota; Viridiplantae; Streptophyta; Magnoliopsida; Poales; Poaceae
Description: long non-coding RNA (HVUL_LNC006435)
Source: RNAcentral